CCUACGUGCGGCAGCAGUGAGGAAUAUUGGUCAAUGGGCUUACGCCUGAACCAGCCAAGUCGCGUGAGGGAAGACUGCCCUAUGGGUUGUAAACCUCUUUUGUCAGGGAGCAACGCCGGCUACGUGUAGCCGGACUGAGAGUACCUGAAGAAAAAGCAUCGGCUAACCCCGUGCCAGGAGCCGCGGUAAUACGUAGGAUGCGAGCGUUAUCCGGAUUUAUGGGGUUAAAGGGGUGCGGAGGCGGAAUGCCAAGUCAGCGGUAAAAUCGGGGGGAUCAACCUCGCUCCGCCGGUGAAACUGGGGUUGUUGAGUGGGCGAGAAGUAUGCGGAAUGCGUGGUGUAGCGGUGAAAUGCAUAGAUAUCACGCAGAACUCCGAUUGCGAAGGCAGCAUACCGGCGCCCAACUGACGCUGAGGCACGAAAGCGUGGGUAUCGAACAGGAUUAGAUACCCGAGUAGUC
RNAcentral lists this ribosomal RNA (460 nucleotides) under uncultured bacterium. Its description in RNAcentral is "partial 16S ribosomal RNA". It matches the Rfam family "Bacterial small subunit ribosomal RNA", at positions 338 to 795 of the family's 1533-position model. The record is from RNAcentral.